GGUGUUUGCAAAAGUAAAUUUUGACGUUGUGGGAUAUCACCGCCAAUAUGAUAAGGCAACCCACAGUUAGCAAAAGAGAUAUACUGGCCUCGUUCAAAAAUAAUGAUUUCAGCAUCUUCACUUAAACGUCUUGCUCUUGCCGCGGCUGAAGCGCCUCCUGCAACACCAC
Photobacterium damselae subsp. damselae CIP 102761 is the source of this 169-nucleotide non-coding RNA. It matches the Rfam family "Vibrio RNA AS7". From Rfam's summary of the family: Identified by direct cloning an parallel sequencing experiments with 5S/tRNA depletion. Confirmed by Northern blot. The record is from Rfam. Lineage: Bacteria; Pseudomonadati; Pseudomonadota; Gammaproteobacteria; Vibrionales; Vibrionaceae.